AUGCUGCUACUGCUGACGUCCAUGGAGACGCUGCUGCUGCUGACGUCCAUGGAGAUGCUGCUGCUGUGGAUCGAGAAAGCAAAGAAAUUAGGGGGAGGAUGUGAGAGAGAAGGAAGGAGAAGAGAGGUCAGGGAGAGCCCCGGUGUUCUACCCCUACUGGGGCAUCUUUUCUCCAGGGAGAAAGGAGGGGACCAGCGGCAUAGGGAGGAGAGGAGGCCGUCGAGGCGAGCGGGGAGGGGGCGGCGGCAUGGGAGAGGAUGGAGCAGGGAGGACAUGAGGCGAAGGGGGAGCGGGGCUCGGGAGCACAUGCCGGCAGCCGGCAGGUCGAAUUGUCGCGCCACUGCGUCAUCGCCUCCUCUGCUCCAUGAGGCGCCACCUCUGCCUCCACCCUCCACUAGGCAAGGAGCUCAAGGUGAACAGGCGGUGGGAAGGUCAGAGGAAGCAGGAGUUCAUCUCUCCUCCAAUGGCUGCCUCAUGCAUCUGGAGUAUAAGGAGGACAACAUGUGCCUGUUGGAGGCGACUCGAGCAACACAGGCCAGCGGCGAACUAGAUCUGACAUAG
This 561-nucleotide ribosomal RNA is filed under the name Triticum aestivum (bread wheat). RNAcentral's name for it is "partial small subunit ribosomal RNA". Lineage: Eukaryota; Viridiplantae; Streptophyta; Magnoliopsida; Poales; Poaceae. The record is from RNAcentral.